UAUACUAAAGUUAUGGUGCGAAAACCAAGAAUAAUGCUUAUUUGGGCCCCUUUUUAGCCCCUAAUUCCUGAACUGUUGGGACCAAAACUCCCAAAAUCAAUCCCAACCUACCUUUUGUGUUCAUAAACCUUGUGUUUAAAUUUCAUUGAUUUCUAUUUACUUAUACUAAAGUUAUUGUACGAAAACCAAGAAUAAUGCUUAUUUGGGCCCUUUUUUUGGCCCCUAAUUCCUAAACUGUUAGUACCAAAACUCCCAAAAUCAAUCCCAACCUUCCUUUUGUGGUCAUAAACCUUGUGUCAAAAUUUCAUAGAUUUCAAUUUACUUAAACUAAAGUUAUAGUGCGAAAACCAAGAAAAUGCUUAUUUGGGCCCUUUUUUGCCCCUAAUUCCUAAAAUGUUGGGACCAAAACUCCCAAAAUCAAUC
This 423-nucleotide long non-coding RNA is filed under the name Mytilus galloprovincialis (Mediterranean mussel). Lineage: Eukaryota; Metazoa; Mollusca; Bivalvia; Mytilida; Mytilidae. The record is from RNAcentral.